RNAcentral lists this transfer RNA (66 nucleotides) under Nothobranchius ocellatus. RNAcentral describes it as "tRNA-Cys". The record is from RNAcentral. Lineage: Eukaryota; Metazoa; Chordata; Actinopteri; Cyprinodontiformes; Nothobranchiidae.
AGUCCCGAGGUGUAUUACAUACAUGGUUGCAAACCACGAGUAGCAGGUUACCGUCUGCCGGGACUU